GACGAACGCUGGCGGCGUGCUUAACACAUGCAAGUCGAACGGAAAGGCCCUGCUUGCCGGGUACUCGAGUGGCGAACGGGUGAGUAACACGUGGGUGAUCUGCCCUGCACUUCGGGAUAAGCCUGGGAAACUGGGUCUAAUACCGGAUAGGAGCCAUUUUUAGUGUGAUGGUUGGAAAGUUUUUUCGGUGUAGGAUGAGCUCGCGGCCUAUCAGCUUGUUGGUGGGGUAAUGGCCUACCAAGGCGGCGACGGGUAGCCGGCCUGAGAGGGUGGACGGCCACAUUGGGACUGAGAUACGGCCCAGACUCCUACGGGAGGCAGCAGUGGGGAAUAUUGCACAAUGGGCGCAAGCCUGAUGCAGCGACGCCGCGUGGGGGAGGACGGCCUUCGGGUUGUAAACUCCUUUCGCUAGGGACGAAGCUUUUUGUGACGGUACCUAGAUAAGAAGCACCGGCUAACUACGUG
RNAcentral lists this ribosomal RNA (465 nucleotides) under uncultured bacterium. RNAcentral describes it as "partial 16S ribosomal RNA". It matches the Rfam family "Bacterial small subunit ribosomal RNA", at positions 28 to 507 of the family's 1533-position model. The record is from RNAcentral.